UACGAAGGGGGCUAGCGUUGUUCGGAAUUACUGGGCGUAAAGCGCACGUAGGCGGUUCGAUCAGUCAGGGGUGAAAUCCCAGGGCUCAACUCUGGAACUGCCUUUGAUACUGUCGAUCUGGAGUAUGGAAGAGGUGAGUGGAAUUCCGAGUGUAGAGGUGAAAUUCGUAGAUAUUCGGAGGAACACCAGUGGCGAAGGCGGCUCACUGGUCCAUUACUGACGCCGAGGUGCGAAAGCGUGGGGAGCAAACAGG
Molecule: ribosomal RNA, 253 nt
Filed under: uncultured bacterium
Lineage: Bacteria
Description: partial 16S ribosomal RNA
Rfam family: Bacterial small subunit ribosomal RNA
Source: RNAcentral